Molecule: ribosomal RNA, 377 nt
Filed under: uncultured bacterium
Lineage: Bacteria
Description: bacterial SSU rRNA
Rfam family: Archaeal small subunit ribosomal RNA
Source: RNAcentral
AACCAGCACCUCGAGUGGUCAGGAGGUUUAUUGGGCCUAAAGCAUCCGUAGCCGGUUGCAUAAGUUUUCGGUUAAAUCUAUGCGCUUAACGUAUAGGCCGCCGAAAAUACUGUGCAGCUAGGGAGUGGGAGAGGUACACGGUACUCGAUAGGAAGGGGUAAAAUCCUUUGAUCUAUUGAUGACCACCUGUGGCGAAGGCGGUGUACCAGAACACGUUCGACGGUGAGGGAUGAAAGCUGGGGGAGCAAACCGGAUUAGAUACCCGGGUAGUCCCAGCUGUAAACGAUGCAGACUCGGUGAUGCAUUGGCUUGUGGCCAAUGCAGUGCCGCAGGGAAGCCGUUAAGUCUGCCGCCUGGGAAGUACGUACGCAAGUAUG